AGAGUUUGAUCCUGGCUCAGAACGAACGCUGGCGGCGUGCUUAWCACAUGCAAGUCGAACGUGAUUGAGAGCUUGCUCUCAUGAAAGUGGCGCACGGGUGAGUAACACGUGGAUAAUCUGCCUGGCGAUUCGGGAUAACACUUCGAAAGGGGUGCUAAUACCGGAUAAGCCCACAGUCUCUUCGGAGRGUGCGGGAAAAGGGGGCCUCUGUAUAUGCUCCUGUCGCUAGAUGAGUCCGCGGCCCAUUAGCUAGUUGGUAGGGUAAUGGCCUACCAAGGCKACGAUGGGUAGCUGGUCUGAGAGGAUGAUCAGCCACACUGGAACUGAGACACGGUCCAGACUCCUACGGGAGGCAGCAGUGRGGAAUYUUGCGCAAUGGGSGAAASCCUGACGCAGCAACGCCGCGUGAGUGAKGAAGGYCUUCGGRUCGUAAAGCUCUGUCGGAUGGAAAGAACCGCAUAGGGGUAAAYAGCYCCURUGUCUGACGGUACCAUCAAAGGAAGCACCGGCUAACUCCGUGCCAGCAGCCGCGGUAAUACGGGGGGUGCAAGCGUUGUUCGGAAUUAUUGGGCGUAAAGAGCGUGUAGGCGGCCKGAURUGUCAGAUGUGAAAGCCCUGGGCUUAACCCAGGAAGUGCAUUUGAAACUGUCMGGCUUGAGUAGGGGAGAGGGAAGUGGAAUUCCUGGUGUAGAGGUGAAAUUCGUAGAUAUCAGGAGGAACACCGGUGGCGAAGGCGACUUCCUGGCCCUAUACUGACGCUGAGACGCGAGAGCGUGGGUAGCAAACAGGAUUAGAUACCCUGGUAGUCC
RNAcentral lists this ribosomal RNA (809 nucleotides) under uncultured bacterium. RNAcentral describes it as "bacterial SSU rRNA". It matches the Rfam family "Bacterial small subunit ribosomal RNA", at positions 8 to 796 of the family's 1533-position model. The record is from RNAcentral.